AUCUAUAAGCGUACUGUGGGAGUUCAAUCAACGUGUUCCAUAAGUAAAACCCGAAAAUGCUCAUACUUCUUUCUCUCUAGUCUGAUGGCCUGAUGGUUUUUAAUACUACUUCGAAUCGGUUUGAAUGGUUUAUAAGUCGCGUAUAGUAAGGAUCAUCGCGUAUAAGGUAAGGUCAUGCAAAACAAGGCUGUUUCUCACUUCUAACAGGAACUGCACUCGAUCGACGGAUAUACGAAGGGAAGCCUAUAGCGACAUUUCGUUAUUCUAAUGUUUAACUGUGGCUGAUCCAUUGAGGAAUUCGGAAGAUCUAUGCUAUUCAGGUUUAGAAAAAAUUAAAGAACAACGAAAACGAUAGGACUGCGUUAUACAGUGAUCGGUCCAUGUCGGGAAACAAAGCUCUACUCUGUGAAUUCUGCGGACUGAUCAGUGCCGUUACAAAAAUUAGAAUACUAUGUUGGGCAAAUGUGUACCCAAGUUUCCUCGACCAAGAUCGCCUUGUCAGAUUAAAGAACUUGUCGAAAACAAAUUCACCGCGGUGAACUUUACGCGAUACCAAUGCGACAGGGAAAACGCAGUUCCUUAAAAAUCUUCAUGUUAAUCUGUUAACUGAGUAUCGCAGUUUUGAUCAGAGACGACUGACCCCUUCGUGUCAGGCUACAUUACGUACUGCAUGCGACCGGCUUCGCAGCAAUAAGUUGAAAGGAACUUGGAGUUUUUGAAAACCUAUGUUUUUCUGAAAAGUGUUUUGCUUAUUUGCUUGAUAACCAUGCGACGCAGUAAAAUUAUGUGGCUAACACAAUUAUUCUGCGGUUUUUUCUUAAGGGGAACGCCAUGCUCAUCAACGGGAUCAAGUGGCGAUCGUCGAGUUGGCUCGAAAUUUUGCCAGCGUAACGUAUACUUGAAUAUGUGCAUCUCAAGUGUUUCGUGUGGCCUUCUUCCAGGAAUACAUCCAGCUGCCCAAGCAUACAAAUCACGUCAUUGAUCGGUGUCAGAACUGAAUUGCAUUGGGUGCAUCUAACGUUAGGCAAACACAAUGGCUGUCAUCUCUCCUGGAUCUGUAUAGUGUGCUUCAUUGAACUCGAUACGAAUCGGUAGCUCCGCGCUAUACGGGGAGAGCUUCGAACGUUCGCGCUGCCUACGGCGAAUCCGGCUGGGGCCUUCCUUCUCUAAACUAUGCGACCUUCAGAUGUUAUUACGGACGGUAGUAGCUAUAAUGGAACACCUGGAAUAAGGCUAUUUAGGAGCACACCCUUAAGCUCAGAACGUGUACGCGACUAUGGGAACAGAGCAGAUUAGUCUGAUAUGCAAUGCGUCAAAUUAUAGAUAUUAUUGUCCUGAAUUUCAC
This is a long non-coding RNA of Varroa destructor (honeybee mite), 1345 nucleotides long. The record is from RefSeq and is a predicted model, not a curated record. Lineage: Eukaryota; Metazoa; Arthropoda; Arachnida; Mesostigmata; Varroidae.